RNAcentral lists this ribosomal RNA (465 nucleotides) under Vreelandella stevensii. RNAcentral describes it as "partial 16S ribosomal RNA". It matches the Rfam family "Bacterial small subunit ribosomal RNA", at positions 338 to 795 of the family's 1533-position model. Lineage: Bacteria; Pseudomonadati; Pseudomonadota; Gammaproteobacteria; Oceanospirillales; Halomonadaceae. The record is from RNAcentral.
CCUACGGGUGGCUGCAGUGGGGAAUAUUGGACAAUGGGGGGAACCCUGAUCCAGCCAUGCCGCAUGUGUGAAGAAGGCCCUCGGGUUGUAAAGCACUUUCAGUGAGGAAGAACGCCUGGUGGUUAAUACCCAUCAGGAAAGACAUCACUCACAGAAGAAGCACCGGCUAACUCCGUGCCAGCAGCCGCGGUAAUACGGAGGGUGCGAGCGUUAAUCGGAAUUACUGGGCGUAAAGCGCGCGUAGGUGGCUUGAUAAGCCGGUUGUGAAAGCCCCGGGCUCAACCUGGGAACGGCAUCCGGAACUGUCAAGCUAGAGUGCAGGAGAGGAAGGUAGAAUUCCCGGUGUAGCGGUGAAAUGCGUAGAGAUCGGGAGGAAUACCAGUGGCGAAGGCGGCCUUCUGGACUGACACUGACACUGAGGUGCGAAAGCGUGGGUAGCAAACAGGAUUAGAUACCCGAGUAGUC